Small nuclear RNA from Styela clava, 112 nucleotides. RefSeq annotates it as U5 spliceosomal RNA. NCBI's taxonomy places the organism in Eukaryota, Metazoa, Chordata, Ascidiacea, Stolidobranchia, Styelidae. The record is from RefSeq and is a predicted model, not a curated record.
UUACUCAGGCUUCUCUUCAUUUUUCGCAUAAAUCUUUCGCCUUUUACUAAAGAUUUCCGUGGGGAGGAGCACACAAUGAGUCUUGGUUUUUAAGCCCAGCAUGUACUGGGUU